This 217-nucleotide long non-coding RNA is filed under the name Lathyrus oleraceus (garden pea). RNAcentral describes it as "Pisum sativum (pea) long non-coding RNA (PSAT_LNC012922)". The record is from RNAcentral. Lineage: Eukaryota; Viridiplantae; Streptophyta; Magnoliopsida; Fabales; Fabaceae.
AUCAAUUAAUAAAAAUUGAAUAGGUCUCAUUGUAAGAAAGCCCAAGAGUAAGCUAUGUGAGCUUGAUGGCGAUGCUAAAAGCUAUCGACUUACAAAGGUGUUUGAAAAUGGGCUUGACAUUGAAUCGAAAAUCAUUUGAUUUUUAAUGGUUUAACAUGGUUUUGAAUUUACGUUUAAAACUGAAAGGGAUUUGGAAAUGAUUUUGAAAAAUGUACUU